Molecule: long non-coding RNA, 2515 nt
Organism: Solea solea (common sole)
Lineage: Eukaryota; Metazoa; Chordata; Actinopteri; Pleuronectiformes; Soleidae
Exons: 3
Source: RefSeq, a predicted model, not a curated record
UACAGUCUAUUUUCCCACUUCAGCAUGGAUACAAUGUAUGACACAUGGAGCCGCUUCUUCAGGAGAGCUGACAUAAAAACAAAGGUGGAUGUAGCGCUCUUGGUGAGAACAGAAGACACGUCCACUUGAGUUGUCAUCAGCAGCAGCAUCAGACAUGGACAGUUGGGAAGGAGGAGGAGGAGGAGGCAAGAGGUGCCGUCCUCAAAGACUUGCCUCCACACAGAGCACCUCCAUCCGCACUGCAAUCUCAUUCAGAGUGCAGGAACUGGAGGAACGUACAUAGAGAGGGAGAAUGAGCUCCAGAGCUGAGAGGGGAAAGAAGGGGAUGACAGGGAUGAGAAGGCGGGCCUCUUUGCUCCGGUCUCGACCACGGGUAUUCUUGGGUUGAUAAUACAGAUGUGGAUGUUAUUGCUUGAGAAUACGCGUAGUCGAGUGGAAGCUUUAUCAUCUACAGUGGACCAAAGGCUGAGGAGGUGACACGGACAUGGAGUGGAUUUUAAUUAAGCUGGGGUUAUAAAGGAAAAGGUUUAUUUUGUCCAAUCAGAAAGUAGGCUUUUUUUUGUUUUUUUUUAAUAGAACUCAAUCAGGGCUGGCUCAGAUCAAAUCCAGUCACUGAAAAGGUUUUAUCAUCCUAGGUUUAUCAUCCAUGUCACUCUUUACACCUGUGGAGGAAAUGAGUUUGAUGUUAGCCAUAUUCAGCCUCUCCUCUGGCGCUGGUGGGGAAGAUUUGCACCAUUCCCCUAAGCUAAACCCCCGGGAAUUAGUUAAGGGAGCUUAACAUAUAAGUCUCCUCACUCAGACGUUAAUUUCAAACCUUUUUGAUUACAUACCCUUGUCUGUCAGUCGUUCACACAGGUGAGCCCGUAAUCUUAUCAGCUGAUGAGUGUCUUUCACAGUCCUUCACACUGUGGGCUCAACAUUUCCGAACACUGGACAGAAAGUUGGAGUUUGCAAAAAAUGUUCGGCGUCUUUGAAAGCAAGCAGUUGUAAUAUUAUCUUGGCACUUGGGUGUUAUAAACACGCAUCAUCCCACUGUACUACAAACUACUCUUACACUCCUAUUUUUGUCUUCCCAGCUCUUGCUAAAAAUACGAGAGUUUUUGGUGCCUGUAGCAGCAACAGGACAGUAGGCGAACACAUGACGACAUGUCCAAGCUUGUGGAGAAACACACACACACACACAAUUGGCAUGAAGGUAUAGAUGAUGUACAUGUCAGUCGGGAAAGAGGGAAUAGAGUUGAUAGAAACAAGCAUGCGCAUAGAUCGGCAUAUGAACCCACACGUUUAAGCUGGGUUCACUGGGUCCAUGUGUUAGUGGGGAAAUAAGCGACUGAUUGAUUUUACGGGUAACUAUUUUUAGUCAGAAUGAUGGAUGUUUAUGUCUUUUAUUGAUCAAGUUGAGGUGUAGGUUGGAAGAAUUCUUAGAUGGCUGGGGCACGUUGCUGAUGAAUCAGGCAGCAAAAGUGUUACAAUAAAACAUCCCGAGGUAGUUUUUUUUUUUUUUUUUACAUUAGCAUUAUUGCUAAGUAUUAUAAAUUAGAAAAUCAACAUUUCAUUGCACAUUCAGCAUUUUAUUAGCAUCUGUUUGCAAAUGUGCCCGUGAUAAAUUACACCUUUAUCAUUUAUUAUCCGAUGAUUUCUUACAACCGCAUAAGCAAAUCUCUAAUUUAUUAGUGCAGUGCGCAAUCAUAAUUUAUUUGAAUUUCACUCCAAGGCUGUGUGAACUUGUUGAUUGGGCAAAGUAAUUUGUUUUGUUGUAUUUGUGAAUGUGUGUGUGUGUAUGUGUGUGUGUGUGUGCUUCUAAGCAACAAAAUAACUAUUGUGAGCACAGCUCCAGGUGCCUAGCAACCAAAUCGCUCUGUUUCCUUGGCAACAGUUGCCUUGCACUCACUGUGUGGGUGAUUGGCAGCCUUGACAACGGAGAUGAAGUGACACUUGACCUCGCGUGCUGAAUGGGAGAACAGAAAGAAUGAGGGAGAAAUAUAAGAGAGGGGGAGGAAGUGGGAGGGGAUGUGUGGAGACAGAGGAGAGACUAAGUGAUAAUCAUUCUCCAUUGUAAUCAUCCUCCAGCAUGUUUCAUAAGACUUUGUCAAUACCUCUCCAGCUGGGGUCCAUCAUCAAACACAAUACACAGUGCAGUGCAUGCAUGCACGGACACACUCUUCUUGGGUGGAGAGAGCCCAGGCAGCACUCUACAUCUCAUCUAUUAUCACUCAGCGCUGCCUGGUGCAGAGUCGUGCUACACUGUGUCUUCUUUCAUUUGUGAUCUGCUACAUCCUGCGCUCUGUGGGGAUAAAUUGAUACUGGACUCCAAAAAAAAUGUGUCAAGAGUCACAGAUGCCACAGGAGACAUGGUUUGACACUGUGAAACUUCCACCACAUGUAGUGUCCCUGUCUUUGACACCAUCAAAUCUAUAUUCUGUUCUAAUGCAUUUUAGGGGUUCUUAUUUAAUAUGAUGCUGGCUGAUGAAAUCUCAUCAGUUAAGAUGGAGACUAAUAAAAGCUUGAAGUUUGA